GCUGGGCGUGGUGGCGCGUGCCUGUAGUCCCAGCUACUCAGGAGGCUGAGGCGUAAGAAUUGCUUGAACCCAGGAGGCAGAGGUUGCAGUGAGCUGAGAUCAUGCCACUGCACUCCAGCCUGGGUGACAGAGUGAGACUCUGUCUCAA
RNAcentral lists this non-coding RNA (148 nucleotides) under Pan paniscus (pygmy chimpanzee). The record is from Rfam by way of RNAcentral. RNAcentral also lists the same sequence under 1 other name. Lineage: Eukaryota; Metazoa; Chordata; Mammalia; Primates; Hominidae.